GUUCAUUGGGUUUGUUUACAAAAAUUCAAGCAUCCGGUUAAGAAGACGACAAAUAAGAAUGGUAUUAAGUUGGUAGAAUGGAACUCCUUCCUGAUUCCUGCACAUGUAAGUUACCAGAUACUCUUGAGGGACCAAUUUAAGGGCAAACAGACAAACGUUUUGAUGCAAAGAAAGCAUUGGAUUUGAAAGUUCCCAUGGAGAAGAAAAAUGGAGAGAUUCUAAAAGUAUGAAGAUCUAUACUCCUGUGUAUAAUGAGGAAAUCUUGUCAGUGAAUGUUGUUGCAAUUGUGGACCAGGCCAGAGUUGUACUAAACCAACUAAGACACAAUGAGAUACAGGAAUGACACAAUGAGAAACAGGAAACAGGAAAGUGAUGACUGAUCGCCACCUGUUACAAAUUCAUCUAGAAAACUCCCCACAUCCAACAAGAGACAGUCUGACUUCAAAAUCUUCAUUGAAGGCAACUUAAUGGACAAGACAUCCGUCACAUAAAGAUUCACUAAAAUUGGAAUGAUAUACCAAUUUUAACUUUUAACAGACAAAUACAUUAUAGAUUUGAAAAUAGAUUACCCUUAGAUAAGUUGGAUGAUUAACAUUUACCUCAACACAGUACAAAGUGCUCAUGUUGAACUAUUGUGAUUGAUCAUAGUCUGUCCUUCAUUUUUAUUAACAGUUUCAUACAGUGUUAACACUUUAGUAUGGGGACUCAUUUUUAGCUCAACUUUUCGAAGAAUAUGGAGAGCUAUACUACUCACCCAAGCGUUGGCGUCGGCGUCACCCCUUGGUUAAGGGUUUGCGUGCAAGCACACAUAGGUUAAUAUCUCAGCAACUACUUGAGGUAUUGCAUUGAGACUUUAUACAAUGGUACUCAACCAUCCAACCUACUUAAUUAACCAAGUUUGAUAACUCUACUUUGCAUUUAAUGCCAAUAAUAGGCCUUUAAUAUUUGACUUAGAAAUUCUGGUUAAGGUUUGCAUGCAAGCACACAUAGGUUAAUAUCUCAGCAACUACUUGAGGUAUUGCAUUGAGACUUGAUACAAUGGUACUCAACCAUCCAACCUACUUAUUUAAACAAGUAAGAUAACUCUAGUUUGCAUUUAAUGUAAAUAAUAGGCCUUUAUUAUUUGACUUAGAAAUUCUGGUUAAGGUUUUGCAUGCAAGCACACAUAGGUUAAUAUCUCAGCAACUGCUUGAGGUAUUGCAUUGAGACUUGAUACAAUGGUACUCAACCAUCCAACCUACUUAUUUAAACAAGUAAGAUAACUCUAGUUUGCAUUUAAUGUAAAUAAUAGGCCUUUAUUAUUUGACUUAGAAAUUCUGGUUAAGGUUUUGCAUGCAAGCACACAUAGGUUAAUAUCUCAGCAACUGCUUGAGGUAUUGCAUUGAGACUUGAUACAAUGGUACUCAACCAUCCAACCUACUUAAUUUUCCAAGUUAUAUAACUAUAGUUUGCAUUUAAUGCAAAUACUUGCGUUUAUUAUUUCACUCAGAAAUUCUGGUUAAGGUUUUGCAUGUAAGCACA
Molecule: long non-coding RNA, 1521 nt
Organism: Mya arenaria
Lineage: Eukaryota; Metazoa; Mollusca; Bivalvia; Myida; Myidae
Exons: 5
Source: RefSeq, a predicted model, not a curated record